UACGUAGGGUGCAAGCGUUAAUCGGAAUUACUGGGCGUAAAGCGUGCGCAGGCGGUGAUGUAAGACAGAUGUGAAAUCCCCGGGCUCAACCUGGGAACUGCAUUUGUGACUGUAGAGCUGGAGUACGGCAGAGGGGGAUGGAAUUCCGCGUGUAGCAGUGAAAUGCGUAGAUAUCGGUAGGAACACCAGUGGCGAAGGCGGUUUCCUGGAGCUAACUUGACGCUGAGACGCGAAAGCUGGGGGAGCAAACGGG
RNAcentral lists this ribosomal RNA (253 nucleotides) under uncultured bacterium. RNAcentral's name for it is "partial 16S ribosomal RNA". It matches the Rfam family "Bacterial small subunit ribosomal RNA", at positions 524 to 776 of the family's 1533-position model. The record is from RNAcentral.